GACGAACGCUGGCGGCGUGCUUAACACAUGCAAGUCGAACGCUGAAGCUUGGUGCUUGCACUGUGUGGAUGAGUGGCGAACGGGUGAGUAAUACGUGAGUAACCUGCCCUUGACUCUGGGAUAAGCCUGGGAAACUGGGUCUAAUACUGGAUACGACAUGUCACCGCAUGGUGGUGUGUGGAAAGGGGUUUACUGGGUUUGGAUGGGCUCACGGCCUAUCAGCUUGUUGGUGGGGUAAUGGCUCACCAAGGCGACGACGGGUAGCCGGCCUGAGAGGGUGACCGGCCACACUGGGACUGAGACACGGCCCAGACUCCUACGGGAGGCAGCAGUGGGGAAUAUUGCACAAUGGGCGGAAGCCUGAUGCAGCGACGCCGCGUGAGGGAUGACGGCCUUCGGGUUGUAAACCUCUUUCAGCACGGAAGAAGCGGAAGUGACGGUACGUGCAGAAGAAGCGCCGGCUAACUACGUG
RNAcentral lists this ribosomal RNA (472 nucleotides) under uncultured bacterium. Its description in RNAcentral is "partial 16S ribosomal RNA". It matches the Rfam family "Bacterial small subunit ribosomal RNA", at positions 28 to 507 of the family's 1533-position model. The record is from RNAcentral.